This 1058-nucleotide long non-coding RNA is filed under the name Eurytemora carolleeae. RNAcentral's name for it is "uncharacterized LOC111705390". The record is from RNAcentral. Lineage: Eukaryota; Metazoa; Arthropoda; Copepoda; Calanoida; Temoridae.
CUUGUGCCCGCUUUUAAAUUUAGAUGCUAAAUGCGAACAAAAAUAAGCUGUUCAUACCAUGUUUGCAUAGUGCUUGGCAGUGGCAUCCCUCUAAACAAGUUAUGACUAUCUUAAAACGGCUCAAAAAGGACCCGGAACAAACGUUGAAUUGUCAACAUUGUAAAACCUUUAACUAAUUAAGGAUCAGACUGCAGGAACCAGAACAAUUUAAAUUUACCAAUUUUAUUGUAAUGUUCCAAGCUUUUAUGAAAAAACUCAAAAUGGUCCUGCAAAUGAAUAUUGUUGCAGAACAAUGGGAGAUUAAGGAGAAAAAGUCUAAACUUCAACUCUUCCCAUCUCUAGAAAGAAGGUGAAUACAGUUAAAGAAGAUAUAUGGAGGAGUGUUUAUUUGAUAAAACCAAUCUUGAGACCUGAUAUAAGAGUAAACCAACCUGCAGAUCCAAGAUUUAUUAACGUGGAUACUGAGAGACAAGAACCAAACCUAUAGUCCAAGAUAUGUGAAACUUAGAAGAUUGUGAUAAGGCUCACCCCUGAUCCCAACUAGAACCUGUACCAGAGCGGAACCUGUCCUGAAAGUAACCUUAGAACCAGAGCCCCAGUGUUAACUCUACCUGGAGCUGAACCUGAGAUUAUCCAACCCUGAUUUAUACCUGAAAAUAAACCUUAUCCGGAGUAGGAUUUGGACCUAUUGUUGGAGUAGAACCUGAACCUGGAGUUAGCUUAAAGCUAUACCUGGAGCUAAACCACUUAAAACUAAUCCAAGAUCUAAACCAACAUCAGAUCUUAAUAAGGUUAGAAGGAGUCCAAUUUACUAAAAAGAAAUUUUUGAUAGAGUUUAAAGAUUACUAAAGAGAAACUGUUUAGGAUUAAUUCUGUACGAAACUCCUAAGAUGUAAAGAUAACCCUGAGCAAAGCAAUCCUGAAAUCUUCAAGCUAUUCAAAACCAUCGGAGAAUAAUUUGGCAAGAAUAAGCAAGAUCUAAGAAGAGCAUUAAAACACCUCAAAGAUCGCAUCAGAGUAAGUUUUAGAAAUAUAAAAGCUUGGAACAAAAUUUUAAU